Molecule: ribosomal RNA, 422 nt
Filed under: uncultured archaeon
Lineage: Archaea
Description: partial 16S ribosomal RNA
Rfam family: Archaeal small subunit ribosomal RNA
Source: RNAcentral
CUACGGGGGGCUCCAGGCGCGAAACCUUUACAAUGCACGAAAGUGUGAUAAGGGGAUCCAAAGUGCUCAAGCUUUGCUUGGGCUUUUGCCAAAAAUAGGUAUUUUGGCGAAUAAGUGGUGGGCAAGACUGGUGCCAGCCGCCGCGGUAACACCAGCGCCACAAGUGGCAGCCACGAUUAUUGGGCCUAAAGCGUUCGUAGCCGGCCUGAUAAAUCUUCUGUGAAAUUGUGUAGCUUAGCUAUACAGCGUGCAGAAGACACUGUCAGGCUAGAGACCGGGAGGAGCUAGAAGUAUUCUUGGGGGAGCGGUAAAAUGUUGUAAUCCCAAGAAGACUACCUGUGGCGAAGGCGUCUAGCUAGAACGGAUCUGACGGUGAGGGACGAAAGCCAGGGGAGCGAUCCGGAUUAGAUACCCGCGUAGUC